RNAcentral lists this ribosomal RNA (468 nucleotides) under uncultured bacterium. Its description in RNAcentral is "partial 16S ribosomal RNA". It matches the Rfam family "Bacterial small subunit ribosomal RNA", at positions 28 to 507 of the family's 1533-position model. The record is from RNAcentral.
GACGAACGCUGGCAGCGUGCUUAACACAUGCAAGUCGAACGGAAAGGCCCUGCUUUUGUGGGGUGCUCGAGUGGCGAACGGAUGAGUAACACGUGAGUAACCUGCCCUUGACUUUGGGAUAACUUCAGGAAACUGGGGCUAAUACCGGAUAGGAGCUCCUGCUGCAUGGUGGGGGUUGGAAAGUUUCGGCGGUUGGGGAUGGACUCGCGGCUUAUCAGCUUGUUGGUGGGGUAGUGGCUUACCAAGGCUUUGACGGGUAGCCGGCCUGAGAGGGUGACCGGCCACAUUGGGACUGAGAUACGGCCCAGACUCCUACGGGUGGCAGCAGUGGGGAAUAUUGCACAAUGGGCGGAAGCCUGAUGCAGCAACGCCGCGUGCGGGAUGACGGCCUUCGGGUUGUAAACCGCUUUCGCCUGUGACGAAGCGUGAGUGACGGUAAUGGGUAAAGAAGCACCGGCUAACUACGUG